UUAUAUUCUUUCCUUUCCCCCUCUACAUCCUCAAUCCAGUAUUCAAUAUUCAUGGCUCUAUUCGGCGACCCCUUCAGGCGAUUCUUCGUCAAUCCAUCGAUCUACCGCGCGCCGCCGGGAUCAGCGGCUCUUCUAGACUGGGUGGAGUCCCCAUCCGCUCACAUCCUCAAGCUCAAUGUACCAGGGUACAGGAAAGAGGAUAUAAAAGUGCAGAUUGAGGAUGGAAAUGUUGUGGUGAUAAGAGGAGAGGGCGAGAGGGAGGAUGAGAAGGAGAAGGAGAAGGAAGUGAUUUGGCACGCAGCCGAGAGGAGGGCGGCAAGCGGAUUCGUGAGGGAGAUGGAGCUGCCGGAGGACGUUAAGGUAGAACAGAUCAAGGCGCAGGUGGAGAACGGCGUGCUUACGGUGGUUAUACCUAAGGAGACAACUUCCAAAGCGCCCAAGGCCAAUAGAUUCUAGCCCAAUUCGUGAAGGGAAUGCGAUACAGUCUGCAAAUCUAGGCCGUGGAAACAACUAAAGCCGAACAAAAUCCGAAGAGAAGGCAGAGGCCGAAUACGUGACCAUCCUCAGCCUCGUUGAAACAAUGACAAGAUUACAAGCUUCUGAAGUUGCAGAAUGACGAGUAGAAAAUAAAUGAUGAAGAUAAGUGUCAAAAUUGCGGCACAAAGGAACACUGGUCAUACAUUUGUAGAACGCCUAAGCACUUGGCUCAAGUGUACGCUAAAGGACAUCCUUUAGCGUUAGCUCUUUGCCGGAGAUCAUCUUAAGCACCACGUUCCCCACGCUUUGGACCUCGGAAGUUGUGUGGUUUCCCACGUGCAGUUUCCUUCCUUCCGUCUCUUUGUAGGUUGAGAAGCUUGUCUUAUUGGAGCAAGCAUGGCAGGUUGCUCGGGUAUCAAUAAAAUAUACUUUCAAACUUUCUGCAUCAUUUGUUUCAUACAUAACAGUGACAAGAUCGUCCUUGUUGAGGUCAAGAUUAGUCCGGUGGCUCGUCUCAACCAAUCGGGAAUUCGAUUUCUUUCUUUUUGGUGCCUUACAGUCCUUAACUUGGUGCCAUGUUUUAUCACAGUUAAAACAGUUACGUGUAAACUUGAAUUGUUUGGCCUUACCUUUGCCCUUAUCCAUUUGAGUUGGCCGUGUAUGUUUCUUGGAGGGAUCUGCGACCAAGUUGGCUUUGGCAAUAUCUUUGUCUUUAUCUUUGUGCUAUUUUUUAUUGUCCUCCUCUAUCCGAAUUCGGAUAAUAAGAUCUUCAAGCCCUAAUUGCUUUAGUUAAUGCUUCAACCCGUGUUUGAAGUUGCUCAGAUUCGGGUGCAAUUUUUUAUCAUCAUGCUCGUGGUGAACUUUUCUGGCAGUGGCAUCUCCUCACCGAUGACAGAGUGGACAAUGUGUUGAAAUUCUUCUACUUGUUCAACGACAGACUAGCCAUCUAUCAUUCUAUAGUCCAUAAUCCGAGCCACAACAAACAUUUUGGACCCGAAGUUCUCAUACUCAUAAUUUUUCUCAAGGGCAUUCCACAGCCCUUUCGCACUAUUUAUUUUACAGUAUACAUUAUAAAGAGAGUUAGAG
This is an RNA transcript of Andrographis paniculata, 1563 nucleotides long. It is a transcript of the gene named 15.7 kDa heat shock protein, peroxisomal, with no coding region annotated. Lineage: Eukaryota; Viridiplantae; Streptophyta; Magnoliopsida; Lamiales; Acanthaceae. The record is from RefSeq and is a predicted model, not a curated record. The transcript has 4 exons.